RNAcentral lists this ribosomal RNA (584 nucleotides) under uncultured Polaribacter sp. Its description in RNAcentral is "bacterial SSU rRNA". It matches the Rfam family "Bacterial small subunit ribosomal RNA", at positions 74 to 656 of the family's 1533-position model. The record is from RNAcentral. Lineage: Bacteria; Pseudomonadati; Bacteroidota; Flavobacteriia; Flavobacteriales; Flavobacteriaceae.
UUGUGCUUGCACAGAUGACGACCGGCGCACGGGUGCGUAACGCGUAUAGAACCUACCUUUUACAGAGGAAUAGCCUUUAGAAAUGAAGAUUAAUGCCUCAUAGUAUUGUAGACUGGCAUCAGUUUAUAAUUAAAGAUUUAUCGGUAAAAGAUGGCUAUGCGUCCUAUUAGUUAGUUGGUAAGGUAACGGCUUACCAAGACAGCGAUAGGUAGGGGUCCUGAGAGGGAGAUCCCCCACACUGGUACUGAGACACGGACCAGACUCCUACGGGAGGCAGCAGUGAGGAAUAUUGGACAAUGGAGGAGACUCUGAUCCAGCCAUGCCGCGUGUAGGAAGAAUGCCCUAUGGGUUGUAAACUACUUUUAUACAGGAAGAAACACUGGUAUGUAUACCAGCUUGACGGUACUGUAAGAAUAAGGACCGGCUAACUCCGUGCCAGCAGCCGCGGUAAUACGGAGGGUCCGAGCGUUAUCCGGAAUCAUUGGGUUUAAAGGGUCCGCAGGCGGUCGAUUAAGUCAGAGGUGAAAUCCCAUAGCUCAACUAUGGAACUGCCUUUGAUACUGGUUGACUUGAGUCAUAUGGAA